Molecule: non-coding RNA, 115 nt
Organism: Triticum aestivum (bread wheat)
Lineage: Eukaryota; Viridiplantae; Streptophyta; Magnoliopsida; Poales; Poaceae
Source: Rfam
UAUGUACUUCCUCUGUUUGGAAUUACUUGUCACAAGUAUGGAUGUAUCUAAAUGUAUUUUAGUUCUAGAUACAUCCAUUUCUGCGACGAGUAAUUUGGAACGGAGAAGGUACAUA